GUGGGGAAUAUUGCGCAAUGGGGGAAACCCUGACGCAGCAAUACCGCGUGAGUGAAGAAGGUUUUCGGAUCGUAAAGCUCUGUUAUUGGGGAAGAAAAAAGACGGUACCCAAGAAGAAAGUCCCGGCUAACUACGUGCCAGCAGCCGCGGUAAUACGUAGGGGACAAGCGUUGUCCGGAUUUACUGGGCGUAAAGGGCACGCAGGCGGUUUUUUAAGUCAGAUGUGAAAGGUACCGGCUCAACCGGUGACAUGCAUUUGAAACUGAAAGACGUGAGUAUUGGAGAGGCAAGUGGAAUGCCUAGUGUAGCGGUGAAAUGCGUAGAUAUUAGGAGGAACACCGGUGGCGAAGGCGGCUUGCUGGACAAAUACUGACGCUGAGGUGCGAAAGCGUGGGGAGCAAACAGGAUUAGAUACCCGGGUAGUCC
This 426-nucleotide ribosomal RNA is filed under the name uncultured bacterium. RNAcentral's name for it is "partial 16S ribosomal RNA". It matches the Rfam family "Bacterial small subunit ribosomal RNA", at positions 354 to 796 of the family's 1533-position model. The record is from RNAcentral.